GUGGGGAAUAUUGGACAAUGGGGGGAACCCUGAUCCAGCCAUGCCGCGUGUGUGAAGAAGGCCUUUUGGUUGUAAAGCACUUUAAGCGAAGAGGAGGCUACCGAGAUUAAUACUCUUGGAUAGUGGACGUUACUCGCAGAAUAAGCACCGGCUAACUCUGUGCCAGCAGCCGCGGUAAUACAGAGGGUGCAAGCGUUAAUCGGAUUUACUGGGCGUAAAGCGCGCGUAGGUGGCCAAUUAAGUCAAAUGUGAAAUCCCCGAGCUUAACUAGGGAAUUGCAUUCGAUACUGGUUGGCUAGAGUAUGGGAGAGGAUGGUAGAAUUCCAGGUGUAGCGGUGAAAUGCGUAGAGAUCUGGAGGAAUACCGAUGGCGAAGGCAGCCAUCUGGCCUAAUACUGACACUGAGGUGCGAAAGCAUGGGGAGCAAACAGGAUUAGAUACCCCUGUAGUCC
This 451-nucleotide ribosomal RNA is filed under the name uncultured bacterium. RNAcentral describes it as "partial 16S ribosomal RNA". It matches the Rfam family "Bacterial small subunit ribosomal RNA", at positions 354 to 796 of the family's 1533-position model. The record is from RNAcentral.